RNAcentral lists this ribosomal RNA (440 nucleotides) under uncultured soil bacterium. Its description in RNAcentral is "bacterial SSU rRNA". It matches the Rfam family "Bacterial small subunit ribosomal RNA", at positions 26 to 517 of the family's 1533-position model. The record is from RNAcentral.
AGAACGAACGCUGGCGGCAGGCCUAACACAUGCAAGUCGAGCGCCCCGCAAGGGGAGCGGCGGACGGGUGAGUAACGCGUGGGAAUUUUUCCUGGAGUACGGAACAACCGAGGGAAACUUCGGCUAAUACCGUAUGAUGCCGAGAGGCCAAAGAUUUAUCGCUCUGGGGUGAGCCCGCGUCAGAUUAGGUAGUUGGUGGGGUAAUGGCCUACCAAGCCUGCGAUCUGUAGCUGGUCUGAGAGGACGAUCAGCCACACUGGGACUGAGACACGGCCCAGACUCCUACGGGAGGCAGCAGUGGGGAAUCUUGCGCAAUGGGCGAAAGCCUGACGCAGCCAUGCCGCGUGAGUGAAGAAGGUCUUAGGAUUGUAAAGCUCUUUCGCUCGUGACGAUGAUGACGUAACGAGAGAAGACGCCCGCUAACUUCGCGCCAGCAGCCG